CCUUCGAUAGCUCAGUUGGUAGAGCGGUGGACUGUAGCAGCAAGCGCGCGUUUUCACGAAACGCCCAUAGUAAUCCAUAGGUCACUGGUUCAAAUCCGGUUCGAAGGA
This 108-nucleotide transfer RNA is filed under the name Anopheles funestus (African malaria mosquito). Its description in RNAcentral is "tRNA-Tyr for anticodon GUA". It matches the Rfam family "tRNA". From Rfam's summary of the family: Transfer RNA (tRNA) molecules are approximately 80 nucleotides in length. Their secondary structure includes four short double-helical elements and three loops (D, anti-codon, and T loops). Lineage: Eukaryota; Metazoa; Arthropoda; Insecta; Diptera; Culicidae. The record is from RNAcentral.